This 337-nucleotide long non-coding RNA is filed under the name Phoenix dactylifera (date palm). RNAcentral's name for it is "long non-coding RNA (PDAC_LNC000302)". The record is from RNAcentral. Lineage: Eukaryota; Viridiplantae; Streptophyta; Magnoliopsida; Arecales; Arecaceae.
UUUGAGAGAGUUGCUGGAUAUAAGGUGAAUGCUCCUGAUCAACUUCAAAGGGCGCCUCUAGAGACAUUCUAUGCUGUUGUCAGAAUGCCAAGAGAUCAGUAGCACUAAGAACUGAACAAGACCACAACAAGACAAUGUCAGUGAAGAAAGGCCAGGCAAAUGAUGGACAGAUUAGCCUACCAAGCCAAGGCUGAUGUAAACUUCAUUUGCCUUUGCCUAUACUACACAGGGAGAGGAGGCGAGGCAAGGAAGAAGGGGAAGCUGGAGCAGAAUUUAAAACAUCAGUCUAAGCUUGCAAUCAUAGGCACUCAUUCUUGAAGUGACAAACAACUUAAAU